CAGCAGCCGCGGGAAUACGAAGGGUGCAAGCGUUAAUCGGAAUUACUGGGCGUAAAGCGUGCGUAGGCGGUGAGUUAAGUCUGCUGUGAAAUCCCCGGGCUCAACCUGGGAAUGGCAGUGGAUACUGGCUCGCUAGAGUGUGUCAGAGGAUGGUGGAAUUCCCGGUGUAGCGGCGAAAUGCGUAGAGAUCGGGAGGAACAUCAGUGGCGAAGGCGGCCAUCUGGGACAACACUGACGCUGAGGCACGAAAGCGUGGGGAGCAAACAGGAUUAGAUACCCGUGUAGUCCCUGUCUCUUAUAC
This 301-nucleotide ribosomal RNA is filed under the name uncultured bacterium. RNAcentral describes it as "partial 16S ribosomal RNA". It matches the Rfam family "Bacterial small subunit ribosomal RNA", at positions 509 to 807 of the family's 1533-position model. The record is from RNAcentral.